This is a non-coding RNA of Capsicum annuum, 107 nucleotides long. The record is from Rfam. NCBI's taxonomy places the organism in Eukaryota, Viridiplantae, Streptophyta, Magnoliopsida, Solanales, Solanaceae.
GUUUCUCCCUUUGGGGACAUCCGAUAAAAUUGGAACGAUACAGAGAAUAUUAGCAUGAUCCCUGCGCAAGAAUGACACGCACAAAUCGAGAAAUGGUCCAAAUUUUU